This is a long non-coding RNA of Macaca fascicularis (crab-eating macaque), 2089 nucleotides long. The record is from Ensembl. Lineage: Eukaryota; Metazoa; Chordata; Mammalia; Primates; Cercopithecidae.
UUUUUUUUUUUUUUUUUUUUUGCUGACAGGGCCUCGCUCUGUUGCUCAGGCUGGAGCGCAGUGGUGUGAUCUGUCUCACUGAAACCUCCACUUCCCGGGCUCAAGGAAUUCUCCUGCCUCAGCCUCCUGAGAAGCUGGGACUACAGACAUGCCACCACUCCUGGCUAAUUGUUUUGCUAUUUUUUGUAGAGACGGGGGUCUCACCAUGUUACCCAGGCUGCUCUUGAACUCCUGGGCUCAAUCUAUCCACCCACCUUGGCCUUCCAAAGUGUUGGGAUUGCAGGCGUGAGCCACUGUGCCUGGCCUCAGAUCUGCAUUUUAAAGAAUCACUCUGUCCCCAGAGCCACAGCCAUCUAUAGAUGUCUAUAGACAUUAAGGAAAUUUAUCGGACUAGGGAACUGGAAAUCUGGGAUAAGAAGAGAAGGGUUUUUGGAUUGGGCAAUUUGGGUGGCCUCUGGGGUGUUCACCAGGAUGAAAAGUGUAAGUAGAGAACAAACCUUUGUGUUAGGGACAGGUGUCGAGUUCCCCCCUAGAGCUGAAGCGUGGCGGAUCACGGGGCAGCCACGUAAUUUCUAGCGCAGGAGACAUGCCUUUCCUUGCUGAGGCCCCAUCCCACUGAGCACCUGCUCUUCGGUUGCUGGCGCCCUCUCCACUUUGUGUGAAUGUCUCAGGCUUGAUUCCCUGCUUGGCUUUCGUGUGUAUCUCACAGCACAUGACUCUCCUGUAAAUUAAAAGGCAUCUUCUCCACGGACACCCUGGUCUUUCCUCCUGAGCUCCCAGCAUCCUUGUGUAAAUUCCAGGGAAAUCGAGGGUGUAAAACUUGUUCCCGGCCCUCUGGGAGGGGACGGCCCUGGGGAGGGGUGAGAGGUCACCAGCUGCUAACAGCUGCAGUUUGGGGACAGGCUUCCAGGAUGGAAAUGUCUGGGACACACGGGGCUCAGAGCAGGGGCACCCUGGUCUACACUGGGGGUCAGUGGGUCUUCAGAGAGACUGACGGACACACAGGCCUCUUCUCUUCUGGGGGCCAGGAGGAGGGGGAUGCAUCCCAGGAGGCUGGUGGCACCCAGGCAGGACUGCGAACUGAGUGACACAGCCGGAGUGGACGGGCGAGGCGAUGCUGUGUCCACACACGCAAACAUGACACCGGCCUGGUGCGGACGGGCGAGGCGACGCUGUGUCCACACACGCAAACAUGACACCGGCCUGGUGCAGACGGGCGGCGCUGUGUCCACACACGCAAACAUGACACCGGCCUGGUGCAGACGGGCGAGGCGACGCUGUGUCCACACACGCAAACAUGACACCAGCCUGGUGCGGACGGGCGAGGCGACGCUGUGUCCACACACGCAAACAUGAUGCCGGCCACGUCCAUGCCCCAAGCACCUGGGAGAGGCUCUCAGCCUCCACUUGCUGAGUGAGAUCAUCUGCCCAGCAGGAGGAAGACCCAGUUCACCUGCGCCCAGGAUACAGAGGAGAGAAUGUGUGGGAAUGGAUGAGCCUCAGGCAGCGGGCGGGUCGACUGGGCGGGGAGAUGAGAUUUACGUGUGCAAAGUCGGAAUGGAAACGCCUGUGUAAGAGGGCUGAGCAGGACACCGGGAGGAGGCGGCUUCAGAAAGGCAAGGAUGCUCACAGGAUGCGUGUCACGGAGGGUCCCGCACCACCCGGCUGGACUGAGCCUGGGGCCUCAGUGACUGAGGCGGCCAUCGGUCGCCCUGGAGGGAGCGCUGCCUGUGAGUCUAUCCCACAGUGGGUCGGAUCCUGGUCUAACGGCGCCACACCCACGAGGACCCCCAUGGCUGCUGCUACAGAGGCUACAGAGCAGCAGGUGCCAGCAGAUCAGGCGCUCAGGAAGAGUUGAGGAGAAAUCAACGCGGCGUCUUCAAGCUCAGUCAGCGGGAGGACCCCUGGGGAGGGUCCAGCACUCCCGAUUUUCCCAGUACCACUUACUGAAAAGAGUGUGCGUUCCACCGUGCAUGUUGUAUUUGACUUUGUUAAAGAUCCCUUGGCUGUGGAUAUGUGACUUUAUUUCUGGGUAGGACCCCCCUGGAGCGGGAGGGGCCUCUUCCUCCCAGAUGCAAGCCAGAGGCAG